Non-coding RNA from Rattus norvegicus (Norway rat), 69 nucleotides. The record is from Rfam. Lineage: Eukaryota; Metazoa; Chordata; Mammalia; Rodentia; Muridae.
GGGGAUUUAGCUCAGUGGUAGAGUAUUUGCCUAGCAAGUGCAAGGCCCUGGGUUCACUCCCCAGCUCCA